This 262-nucleotide ribosomal RNA is filed under the name uncultured bacterium. Its description in RNAcentral is "partial small subunit ribosomal RNA". It matches the Rfam family "Bacterial small subunit ribosomal RNA", at positions 26 to 288 of the family's 1533-position model. The record is from RNAcentral.
AGGACGAACGCUGGCGGCGUGCUUAACACAUGCAAGUCGAGCGGAAAGGCCCUUCGGGGGUACUCGAGCGGCGAACGGGUGAGUAACACGUGAGCAACCUGCCCUUGGCUCUGGGAUAGCCUCCGGAAACGGGGAUUAAUACCGGACAUUCUCCGCCUUCCGCAUGGUUGGCGGUGGAAAGUUUUUUUCGGCCGGGGGAGGGGCUCGCGGCCUAUCAGCUUGUUGGCGGGGUAACGGCCCACCAAGGCGACGACGGGUAGCC